Molecule: ribosomal RNA, 1526 nt
Filed under: Kocuria rosea
Lineage: Bacteria; Bacillati; Actinomycetota; Actinomycetes; Micrococcales; Micrococcaceae
Also listed under: 3 other names
Description: bacterial SSU rRNA
Rfam family: Bacterial small subunit ribosomal RNA
Source: RNAcentral
UUGACGGAGAGUUUGAUCCUGGCUCAGGACGAACGCUGGCGGCGUGCUUAACACAUGCAAGUCGAACGAUGAUGCCCAGCUUGCUGGGCGGAUUAGUGGCGAACGGGUGAGUAAUACGUGAGUAACCUGCCCUUGACUCUGGGAUAAGCCUGGGAAACUGGGUCUAAUACUGGAUACUACCUCUUACCGCAUGGUGGGUGGUGGAAAGGGUUUUACUGGUUUUGGAUGGGCUCACGGCCUAUCAGCUUGUUGGUGGGGUAAUGGCUCACCAAGGCGACGACGGGUAGCCGGCCUGAGAGGGUGACCGGCCACACUGGGACUGAGACACGGCCCAGACUCCUACGGGAGGCAGCAGUGGGGAAUAUUGCACAAUGGGCGGAAGCCUGAUGCAGCGACGCCGCGUGAGGGAUGACGGCCUUCGGGUUGUAAACCUCUUUCAGUAGGGAAGAAGCGAGAGUGACGGUACCUGCAGAAGAAGCGCCGGCUAACUACGUGCCAGCAGCCGCGGUAAUACGUAGGGCGCAAGCGUUGUCCGGAAUUAUUGGGCGUAAAGAGCUCGUAGGCGGUUUGUCGCGUCUGCUGUGAAAGCCCGGGGCUCAACCCCGGGUCUGCAGUGGGUACGGGCAGACUAGAGUGCAGUAGGGGAGACUGGAAUUCCUGGUGUAGCGGUGAAAUGCGCAGAUAUCAGGAGGAACACCGAUGGCGAAGGCAGGUCUCUGGGCUGUUACUGACGCUGAGGAGCGAAAGCAUGGGGAGCGAACAGGAUUAGAUACCCUGGUAGUCCAUGCCGUAAACGUUGGGCACUAGGUGUGGGGGACAUUCCACGUUUUCCGCGCCGUAGCUAACGCAUUAAGUGCCCCGCCUGGGGAGUACGGCCGCAAGGCUAAAACUCAAAGGAAUUGACGGGGGCCCGCACAAGCGGCGGAGCAUGCGGAUUAAUUCGAUGCAACGCGAAGAACCUUACCAAGGCUUGACAUUCACCGGACCGCCCCAGAGAUGGGGUUUCCCUUCGGGGCUGGUGGACAGGUGGUGCAUGGUUGUCGUCAGCUCGUGUCGUGAGAUGUUGGGUUAAGUCCCGCAACGAGCGCAACCCUCGUUCUAUGUUGCCAGCACGUGAUGGUGGGGACUCAUAGGAGACUGCCGGGGUCAACUCGGAGGAAGGUGGGGAUGACGUCAAAUCAUCAUGCCCCUUAUGUCUUGGGCUUCACGCAUGCUACAAUGGCCGGUACAAAGGGUUGCGAUACUGUGAGGUGGAGCUAAUCCCAAAAAGCCGGUCUCAGUUCGGAUUGAGGUCUGCAACUCGACCUCAUGAAGUCGGAGUCGCUAGUAAUCGCAGAUCAGCAACGCUGCGGUGAAUACGUUCCCGGGCCUUGUACACACCGCCCGUCAAGUCACGAAAGUUGGUAACACCCGAAGCCGGUGGCCUAACCCCUUGUGGGAGGGAGCCGUCGAAGGUGGGACUGGCGAUUGGGACUAAGUCGUAACAAGGUAGCCGUACCGGAAGGUGCGGCUGGAUCACCUCCUUU